GUACCCUCAAGCUUUGCUUGGUGUUGGGUGUUUGUCCCGCGCGUUUGCGCAGACUCGCCUUAAAUCAAUUGGCAGCCGGCAUGUUAGCCUGGAGCGCAGCACAUUUUGCGCCUCUUGCUAGCUAUUGUUGGCCCCACAUCAAGUCUAUAUAUUUGC
Molecule: unclassified non-coding RNA, 156 nt
Filed under: Leptosphaeria slovacica
Lineage: Eukaryota; Fungi; Ascomycota; Dothideomycetes; Pleosporales; Leptosphaeriaceae
Description: partial internal transcribed spacer 2
Source: RNAcentral